This 497-nucleotide ribosomal RNA is filed under the name uncultured bacterium. Its description in RNAcentral is "partial 16S ribosomal RNA". It matches the Rfam family "Bacterial small subunit ribosomal RNA", at positions 28 to 507 of the family's 1533-position model. The record is from RNAcentral.
GAUGAACGCUGGCGGCGUGCCUAAUACAUGCAAGUCGAGCGAACGGACGAGAAGCUUGCUUCUCUGAUGUUAGCGGCGGACGGGUGAGUAACACGUGGAUAACCUACCUAUAAGACUGGGAUAACUUCGGGAAACCGGAGCUAAUACCGGAUAAUAUUUUGAACCGCAUGGUUCAAAAGUGAAAGACAGUUUUGCUGUCACUUAUAGAUGGAUCCGCGCUGCAUUAGCUAGUUGGUAAGGUAACGGCUUACCAAGGCGACGAUGCAUAGCCGACCUGAGAGGAUGAUCGGCCACACUGGAACUGAGACACGGUCCAGACUCCUACGGGAGGCAGCAGUAGGGAAUCUUCCGCAAUGGGCGAAAGCCUGACGGAGCAACGCCGCGUGAGUGAUGAAGGUCUUCGGAUCGUAAAACUCUGUUAUUAGGGAAGAACAUAUGUGUAAGUAACUGUGCACAUCUUGACGGUACCUAAUCAGAAAGCCACGGCUAACUACGUG